Non-coding RNA from Mycena maculata, 99 nucleotides. The record is from the annotation of a GenBank genome assembly. NCBI's taxonomy places the organism in Eukaryota, Fungi, Basidiomycota, Agaricomycetes, Agaricales, Mycenaceae.
GGUUGUGUGGUGUAGGGGUUAGCACUCCAGAUUCUGAUAAUUUCGUGCACGUGGACAUAUGGAUUUCUGGUAACCCCGGUUCGAUUCCGGGCACGACCU